RNAcentral lists this ribosomal RNA (1243 nucleotides) under metagenome. RNAcentral describes it as "bacterial LSU rRNA". It matches the Rfam family "Bacterial large subunit ribosomal RNA", at positions 1564 to 2815 of the family's 2925-position model. The record is from RNAcentral.
UGAGUACGAGAUGCUACGGCAUCGAAGCAGUCUAUGUCAUACUUCCAAGAAAAGCUUGCAAUGUCAUAAACAAAUAAUGCCUGUACCAUAACCGACACAGGUGGGUAGGUAGAGUAUACUAAGGGGCGCGAGAUAACUCUCUCUAAGGAACUCGGCAAAAUGACUCCGUAACUUCGGGAGAAGGAGUGCCUUAUUUUUAUAAGGUUGCAAUAACAAGAUCCAAGCAACUGUUUACCAAAAACACAGGUCUCCGCUAAGUCGUAAGACGAUGUAUGGGGGCUGACGCCUGCCCAGUGCCAGAAGGUUAAAGAAGUUGGUUAGCAUUAGCGAAGCUGAUAACUGAAGCCCUGGUGAACGGCGGCCGUAACUAUAACGGUCCUAAGGUAGCGAAAUUCCUUGUCGGGUAAGUUCCGACCCGCACGAAAGGCGUAAUGAUUUGGAUACUGUCUCGGAGAGGGGCUCGGUGAAAUAGACUUGUCUGUGAAGAUGCGGACUACCUGCACCUGGACAGAAAGACCCUAUGAAGCUUUACUGUAACUUGAGAUUGAAAUUGGACUUUAUCUGCGCAGUAUAGGUGGGAGACGUUGAAAAUAUUCUUGCGGGAAUAUUGGAGUCAUCAGUGAGAUACCACUCUUAUAAUGUUAGAUUUCUAACUUUGUAUCAUUAUCUGGUCAAAGAACAGUUUCAGGCGGGCAGUUUGACUGGGGCGGUCGCCUCCCAAGCGGUAACGGAGGCGCACAAAGGUUUCCUCUGAACGUGUAGAAAUCGUAUCUAGAGUGUAAAGGCAUAAGGAAGCUUGACUGUGAGACCUACAAGUCGAGCAGGGACGAAAGUCGGUCUUAGUGAUCUGACGGUGCUGAGUGGAAAGGCCGUCACUCAACGGAUAAAAGUUACUCUAGGAUAACAGGCUGAUCUCCCCCAAGAGUUCACAUCGACGGGGAGGUUUGGCACCUCGAUGUCGGCUCAUCGCAUCCUGGGGCGGUAGUACGUCCCAAGGGUUGGGCUGUUCGCCCAUGAAAGCGGUACGCGAGCUGGGUUCAGAACGUCGUGAGACAGUUCGGUCCAUAUCCGGUGUAGGCGUUAGAAUAUUGAGAGGAGCCUUCUUUAGUACGAGAGGACCGAGAAGGACAUACCUCUGGUGUACCAGUUAUCGUGCCAACGGUAAACGCUGGGUAGCCAUGUAUGGAGAGGAUAACCGCUGAAAGCAUCUAAGUGGGAAGCCCACCUCAAGAUAAGUAUUCAC